This 412-nucleotide unclassified non-coding RNA is filed under the name Hevea brasiliensis (rubber tree). The record is from RNAcentral. Lineage: Eukaryota; Viridiplantae; Streptophyta; Magnoliopsida; Malpighiales; Euphorbiaceae.
AUGCUUUUUAUCAUAAUUAGUAAAUGGUGAAAAUUAUAUUUAUUUUUUAUGAAAAUAGUUUUUUUAGGUUAUAUAUACGUAAAAAUUAAAAAUUAUAUAAAAAUAUUUAAAUAUAUUUUCAAUGAUAUCAUUUAUAAAAUAAUAUUAAUCUGCGCAUUAUACAAGCUAACUUCUAGUUAAACAUAUUCUGGGUACCAAACUGAUUAAUUUAGCAAAAUUUUAAAAAAAAAAUAUCGUACAUUGGGGCCUCCGCCCUCGUUUGAGUUAAAAAAAAAAAAUCCUACAUUCUGACAUAAUAAGUUUUAUUCGUACUAUUGAAAAAUUAUGGUUGAUUCGCAAAAUUGACUUAAUAUUCCAACAUUUUAUUGGCUUAAUAUUUUCCUAUUGUAGGAUUAUGCAAAUUCAAAAGUCU